Molecule: long non-coding RNA, 1035 nt
Organism: Dermacentor albipictus
Lineage: Eukaryota; Metazoa; Arthropoda; Arachnida; Ixodida; Ixodidae
Source: RefSeq, a predicted model, not a curated record
GGCAGGCCAGUACGCAGCAUGUCUCGCAUAGGAACUUCUGCCUAUGGAAAUUUUCUAAUGAGAGGAACAAUAGCCACGUUCCUUCUACUGGCACACAUAGUACUGCACACUGUUAAUGCUGGAUACUGGAUUGACCCAAGCAGUGAAGACGUGACGUUUGUGGACGACCAAAAGCCAUGGCGAACCAGACCGCAGGAUUUAUAUUACGAUGGUCUUGGUUUCAUGGGUUUGAAAACGCUGCGACUGACAGAAACUGAGAAAGGAUUUCGAUCCCCAACGAAGUCCAGAAUGAAGUCAUUACUGCAGGAAUACGGGUAUAUUGACUCCGGUACAAUGUGUAAGAUUCUUGCCCUCAACACUACAAUUGAAGAAUGCCAUCCUCUUUGAAUUGCGGUUAGUCACUGUCACACACAAUGUAUAUAUGACCUUCGAAAGCUGAAGAAAAGGAACAGACGGCCCUAUGAAAGUGCACAACGUAGCACAGCGUAUUUGGUGUGUUAAGGCAAAGUAUAUUUGAUCUGUGUCUUUUGGAGCAGUAUGCAAUUGUAUUUGAAUCGUGAUGUAUUCCAUAGUUUACUCAGGAAAAAAGGGGCGCACUCUCUUUUAUGUACUAAAAAAAAAUUAUGGUGUUUUACGUGCCAAAACCACUUUCUGAUUAUGAGGCACGCCGUAGUGGGGGACUCCGGAAAUUUCGACCACCUGGGGUUCUUUAACGUGCACCUAAAUCUAAGUACACGGGUGUUUUCGCAUUUCGCCCCCAUCAAAAUGCGGCCGCCGCGGCCGGGACUCGAUCCCGCGACCUCGUGCUCAGCAGCCUAACACCAUAGCCACUGAGCAACCACGGCGGGUCUUUUAUGUACUAUAUAGAUAAUACACGCUUUUCACUUUACGUAAAUAUCGCCUAAGUCAAAUGUUUUAUUAAGCAGCAUCAGUUCAUGGAUAGAUGUAUCCGAUAGGUUUGUUUCGAUUAGCUUUGUUGAUCUUGUAUAGUCACCUACCUGCUUGUAAUAAUACUCGCAAAAUAAACGAAUUUAU